This 77-nucleotide transfer RNA is filed under the name Verrucomicrobiales bacterium. Its description in RNAcentral is "tRNA-Arg". It matches the Rfam family "tRNA". From Rfam's summary of the family: Transfer RNA (tRNA) molecules are approximately 80 nucleotides in length. The record is from RNAcentral. Lineage: Bacteria; Pseudomonadati; Verrucomicrobiota; Verrucomicrobiia; Verrucomicrobiales.
GCUUUCGUAGCUCAAUGGAGCAGAGCGCCGGGCUUCGAACCCGGAGGUUGCAGGUUCGAGUCCUGCCGGGAGCGCCA